UACGUAGGGUGCGAGCGUUAAUCGGAAUUACUGGGCGUAAAGCGUGCGCAGGCGGUUCGCCAAGUCAGGUGUGAAAUCCCCGGGCUUAACCUGGGGAUUGCGCUUGAAACUAGCGGGCUUGAGUGUGGCAGAGGGGGGUGGAAUUCCACGUGUAGCAGUGAAAUGCGUAGAGAUGUGGAGGAACACCGAUGGCGAAGGCAGCAUCCUGGACCAAUACUGACACUGAGGAGCGAAAGCCAGGGGAGCAAACGGG
This 253-nucleotide ribosomal RNA is filed under the name uncultured bacterium. RNAcentral's name for it is "partial 16S ribosomal RNA". It matches the Rfam family "Bacterial small subunit ribosomal RNA", at positions 524 to 776 of the family's 1533-position model. The record is from RNAcentral.